GNGCUAACCGGCAAAGGAAGGCGCAUGUCUAGGGUAGGGCCGGUGAUUGGAGUUAAGUCGUAACAAGGUACCCCUACGAGAACGUGGGGGUGGAUUACCUCCUUUCUAUGGAGUAUAUUAAUACACUAACACGAUAUACACCUGUUACAUAUAACGGUGAAACAAUUAAAACCCAGCAAGAAAAGUUAAACCCAUAAAAGCAAAUUGAUAACUUAAAAAUUGUUGGUCGGAUUCUAUUCAGUUCUCAAGGGGUAUUUUAAAAGUAGUUAUUAAGUUUUUUUCUUUAAAGCUUUUGAACUUAAUAACACUUUAAGUUAACCUUGUAAACAUCAUUAAGUUUACCUUUCAGAGAUCAAAGAACAAUUAUUAAAACCUUUUUGAUCAGAUAACUAAUAAACUAACUAACUAAAUCAUCGAUGCAUAAUUAACUGCAUCAAUGAUUUUUUUUCAUUAUUUUUACCGCAAAAAAUGCAGAUUUAUCUGUUAAACUAAUGAUUUAAAAAGGCUUUUUUUUAUUAUCAAUCAUUGGUUAUUUUUUACUUGUGAUUUUAGCUUUAAUGCUUAUAAAAAAAUCCAAUGAUAAAAGUUUUUUUAGAAAAGUGUUGUACAAACUGAUUUGUUGUGCUAUAAUCUAUAAGGCUUAUAUAGCUACAUUGUUCUUUGAAAACUGAAUACGACAAAUCUUUCUAGUCCGAAAUUUGAUUAAAGUAUCAAAUCAAAUUUCAUAUAAUAUAGAUUCAAUAAAAAUAGCUAAUGGAUCAAAUACAUAAGUUACUAAGGGCUUAUGGUGGAUGCCUUGGGUCUGAAGUCCCAAUGAAGGA
This 821-nucleotide unclassified non-coding RNA is filed under the name uncultured Mycoplasma sp. RNAcentral's name for it is "partial contains 16S ribosomal RNA, 16S-23S ribosomal RNA intergenic spacer and 23S ribosomal RNA". The stretch from base 1 to 105 matches the Rfam family "Bacterial small subunit ribosomal RNA", at positions 1432 to 1533 of the family's 1533-position model. The record is from RNAcentral. Lineage: Bacteria; Bacillati; Mycoplasmatota; Mollicutes; Mycoplasmatales; Mycoplasmataceae.